RNAcentral lists this ribosomal RNA (380 nucleotides) under uncultured eukaryote. RNAcentral describes it as "partial 18S ribosomal RNA". It matches the Rfam family "Eukaryotic small subunit ribosomal RNA", at positions 592 to 976 of the family's 1831-position model. The record is from RNAcentral.
CAAUAGCGUAUAUUAAAGUUGUUGCAGUUAAAAAGCUCGUAGUUGGAUUUGUGGCUGUCACGGGCGGCCUAUCACUUAGUGUUAGUGCUUGCCUGUGUCGCCAUCCUUGGGUGGAGCCCGUGUGGCAUUAGGUUGUCGUGCGGGGGAUGCCCAUCGUUUACUGUGAGAAAAUUAGAGUGUUCAAAGCAGGCUUAUGCCGUUGAAUAUGUUAGCAUGGAAUAAUAAGAUAGGACCUCGGUACUAUUUUGUUGGUUUGCGCACCGAGGUAAUGAUUAAUAGGGACAGUUGGGGGUAUUCGUAUUUCAUUGUCAGAGGUGAAAUUCUUGGAUUUCUGAAAGACGAACUACUGCGAAAGCAUUUACCUAGGAUGUUUUCAUUAA